This 163-nucleotide ribosomal RNA is filed under the name Avena sterilis. RNAcentral describes it as "5.8S ribosomal RNA". It matches the Rfam family "5.8S ribosomal RNA". From Rfam's summary of the family: 5.8S ribosomal RNA (5.8S rRNA) is a component of the large subunit of the eukaryotic ribosome. It is transcribed by RNA polymerase I as part of the 45S precursor that also contains 18S and 28S rRNA. The record is from RNAcentral. Lineage: Eukaryota; Viridiplantae; Streptophyta; Magnoliopsida; Poales; Poaceae.
ACACGACUCUCGGCAACGGAUAUCUCGGCUCUCGCAUCGAUGAAGAACGUAGCAAAAUGCGAUACCUGGUGUGGAUUGCAGAAUCCCGCGAACCAUCGAGUCUUUGAACGCAAGUUGCGCCCGAAGCCAUUCGGCMGAGGGCACGCCUGCCUGGGCGUCACGC